AGCAGUGGGAAUAUUGCACAAUGGGGGAAACCCUGAUGCAGCCAUGCCGCGUGUGUGAAGAAGGCCUUCGGGUUGUAAAGCACUUUCAGUAGGGAGGAAGGUAGUGUAGUUAACACCUGCACUAUUUGACGUUACCUACAGAAGAAGCACCGGCUAACUCCGUGCCAGCAGCCGCGGUAAUACGGAGGGUGCGAGCGUUAAUCGGAAUUACUGGGCGUAAAGCGCAUGCAGGCGGCCUGUUAAGUCAGAUGUGAAAGCCCGGGGCUUAACCUCGGAAUUGCAUUUGAAACUGGCAGGCUAGAGUCUUGUAGAGGGGGUAGAAUUUCAGGUGUAGCGGUGAAAUGCGUAGAGAUCUGAAGGAAUACCAGUGGCGAAGGCGGCCCCCUGGACAAAGACUGACGCUCAGAUGCGAAAGCGUGGGGAGCAAACAGGAUUAGAUACCCUGGUAG
Molecule: ribosomal RNA, 449 nt
Filed under: uncultured bacterium
Lineage: Bacteria
Description: bacterial SSU rRNA
Rfam family: Bacterial small subunit ribosomal RNA
Source: RNAcentral